Molecule: ribosomal RNA, 509 nt
Filed under: uncultured bacterium
Lineage: Bacteria
Description: partial 16S ribosomal RNA
Rfam family: Bacterial small subunit ribosomal RNA
Source: RNAcentral
GACGAACGCUGGCGGUGUGCUUAACACAUGCAAGUGGCGCGACGAACCAGAGCUUGCUCUGGGGCCAAGCCGCGAACGGGUGAGUAACACGUGGGUAAUCUGCCCCGAUGACCGGGACAACCCGAGGAAACUCGGGCUAAUACCGGAUGUGGCAUGUCGGCUCAAGCCGACCUGUCAAAGGUAGCUUCGGCUUCCGCAUUGGGAGGGGCCCGCGGCCCAUUAGCUUGUUGGUGGGGUCAAGGCCUACCAAGGCAACGAUGGGUAGCUGGUCUGAGAGGACGAUCAGCCACACUGGGACUGAGACACGGCCCAGACUCCUACGGGAGGCAGCAGUGGGGAAUCUUGCGCAAUGCGCGAAAGCGUGACGCAGCAACACCGCGUGAGGGAAGACGGCCUUAGGGUUGUAAACCUCUUUCAGUUGGGACGAAGGUUCAACGGUGAAUAGCCGAUUGGACUGACGGUACCUUCAGAAGAAGCUCCGGCUAACUACGUGCCAGCAGCCGCCGUAA